Molecule: ribosomal RNA, 686 nt
Filed under: Mourecotelles sp. NML-2007
Lineage: Eukaryota; Metazoa; Arthropoda; Insecta; Hymenoptera; Colletidae
Description: eukaryotic LSU rRNA
Rfam family: Eukaryotic large subunit ribosomal RNA
Source: RNAcentral
AGAGUACGUGAAACCGUUCAGGGGUAAACCUGAGAAACCCAAAANAUCGAAUGGGGAGAUUCAUCGUCGACGAAGCUGGCUCCCGUUGGUGUGCGAUUCCCCCGAUUGGGACUCUGUUCCAAAACGCGGGUACACCCCUUCGGCGAAUAACCGGCGACGUAGUCGUGCACUUCUCCCUUAGUAGAACGUCGCGACCCGUUGUGUGCCGGUCUACGGCCUGGGCUGUUGCCUGUCGCGGCGCCUUCGUACGCUCGCGGCAGAGGUUCGGUCGCCCGGCCGGCUGCACGACGGUACUCUGACGGUAUCGGGCCGCAACCAAUCCAUUCUCGAAUGUAUGUGCGUCAGGCCCGCCGCAAGCUCGGACAGUAUCACCCGGAGCGUGUGGACAUAGUUGCCCUCCCCGGGUCUGGCCAGCUGUUUGCAGGCGGUGUCCUUCGACCGGCCAAGCUUUGAAUUACCGGUCAGCGACGCUAUUGCUUUGGGUACUCUCAGGACCCGUCUUGAAACACGGACCAAGGAGUCUAACAUGUGCGCGAGUCAUUGGGAUAUGUAAACCUAAAGGCGAAAUGAAAGUGAAAGUCGUCCUAAGCGUCGACCAAGGGAGGAUGGGCCGCGUAUGUCUCGGCCUCGCACUCCCGGGGCGUCUCGUUCUCGUUGAGAAGAGGCGCACCCAGAGCGUACACGUU